Molecule: ribosomal RNA, 497 nt
Filed under: uncultured bacterium
Lineage: Bacteria
Description: partial 16S ribosomal RNA
Rfam family: Bacterial small subunit ribosomal RNA
Source: RNAcentral
GAUGAACGCUGGCGGCGUGCCUAAUACAUGCAAGUCGAGCGAACGGACGAGAAGCUUGCUUCUCUGAUGUUAGCGGCGGACGGGUGAGUAACACGUGGAUAACCUACCUAUAAGACUGGGAUAACUUCGGGAAACCGGAGCUAAUACCGGAUAAUAUUUUGAACCGCAUGGUUCAAAAGUGAAAGACGGUCUUGCUGUCACUUAUAGAUGGAUCCGCGCUGCAUUAGCUAGUUGGUAAGGUAACGGCUUACCAAGGCAACGAUGCAUAGCCGACCUGAGAGGGUGAUCGGCCACUCUAGAACUGAGACGCGGUCCAGACUCCUACGGGAGGCAGCAGUAGGGAAUCUUCCGCAAUGGGCGAAGGCCUGACGGAGCACCGCCGCGUGAGUAAUAAAGAUCUUCGAAUCUUAAAACUCUGUUAUUAGGAAGGAACAUAUGUGUAAGUAACUGUGCACAUCUUGACGGUACCUAAUCAGAAAGCCACGGCUAACUACGUG